UUUCGAUAGUUAGUGCGUAAA
This 21-nucleotide small nuclear RNA is filed under the name Arabidopsis thaliana (thale cress). RNAcentral's name for it is "snRNA_02794". The record is from RNAcentral. Lineage: Eukaryota; Viridiplantae; Streptophyta; Magnoliopsida; Brassicales; Brassicaceae.